This 63-nucleotide transfer RNA is filed under the name Sternaspis scutata. RNAcentral describes it as "tRNA-Cys". RNAcentral also lists the same sequence under 2 other names. Lineage: Eukaryota; Metazoa; Annelida; Polychaeta; Terebellida; Sternaspidae. The record is from RNAcentral.
AGCCUUAUAGUUGAAUAAACAACGCUAAGCUGCAACCUUAGAAGUGUGCAAUCACUAGGGCUU